UCCAGGGUAGCCGAGUGGACAUGGCACCUGCCCGGUAAGCAGAAGGGUGUGGGUUCGAUUCCCGCCCCUGGAC
This 73-nucleotide transfer RNA is filed under the name Cordylochernes scorpioides. RNAcentral describes it as "tRNA-Thr". It matches the Rfam family "tRNA". From Rfam's summary of the family: Transfer RNA (tRNA) molecules are approximately 80 nucleotides in length. Lineage: Eukaryota; Metazoa; Arthropoda; Arachnida; Pseudoscorpiones; Chernetidae. The record is from RNAcentral.